Molecule: ribosomal RNA, 406 nt
Filed under: uncultured bacterium
Lineage: Bacteria
Description: partial 16S ribosomal RNA
Rfam family: Bacterial small subunit ribosomal RNA
Source: RNAcentral
GACGAACGCUGGCGGCGUGCUUAACACAUGCAAGUCGAACGAGUGGCGAACGGGUGAGUAAUGUCUGGGAAACUGCCUGAUGGAGGGGGAUAACUACUGGAAACGGUAGCUAAUACCGCAUACCAUCAGAUGUGCCCAGAUGGGAUUAGCUAGUAGGUGGGGUAAUGGCUCACCUAGGCGACGAUCCCUAGCUGGUCUGAGAGGAUGACCAGCAACACUGGAACUGAAACACGGUGCAGACUCCUACGGGAGGCAGCAUUGGGGAAUAUUGCACAAUGGGCAGAAGCCUGAUGCAGCAAUGCCGCGUGUGUGAAGAAGGCCUUCGGGUUGUAAAGCACUUUCAGCGAGGAGGCGUUACUCGCAGAAGAAGCACCGGCUAACUCCGUGCCAGCAGCCGCGGUAAUAC